UGUGACCGACCCCUUUCCCAGUAGGUGAAA
Molecule: non-coding RNA, 30 nt
Filed under: Rattus norvegicus (Norway rat)
Lineage: Eukaryota; Metazoa; Chordata; Mammalia; Rodentia; Muridae
Source: RNAcentral